Long non-coding RNA from Epinephelus fuscoguttatus (brown-marbled grouper), 1512 nucleotides. RefSeq lists it as uncharacterized. The transcript has 3 exons. NCBI's taxonomy places the organism in Eukaryota, Metazoa, Chordata, Actinopteri, Perciformes, Serranidae. The record is from RefSeq and is a predicted model, not a curated record.
CCCCUUAAGUGUCACGUUGGUUUGUCACCAAUGUGGAGGCGAACACUCACCUUCCCCCUCGUGGGAGUUUUGCAGAGUGAGGACCGGAGUGCAGUGGCCCCUUCUUCCGGCCCUGGCGUGACCACUCUGUUUGGUUGUCCUUACCCUAGCCACUUGUGGGCCAAGGAGACUACUGCGUCCCAAGGCCAGCGAUCUGUCUCAGGUUCCAUGGGAGCGGGGCCCCCCAUGAUGACAAGUGGGGUGUUGGGCUCUGGUAGCCCUCAAAAACGCAUACGGCUGAUAGCUCGGCCAUCGUACGGUGAUCUCGCCGUGCAGGAACAACGGCCUAUGGGAUUAGACUAAUCAAAGCCCAAACCCAGUGGAAGCGAGCACUCGGGCGUGCUGUCAUCCCAGACGUCUACCGCCACCCUCGUGCGCGAAUCGGGGGACCCAGGUGAUUCUAGCGAUGCGGAGUACGUGGUUCAUCUGCCUGAUCUGGAACCCUGUAGAAUGUGUGGAACACAGGUCACCGUUCUUCCCUGGGUCCCGACGGCGCUGUCGCUUCUACUUGGUUGGGACCCCAAGGGGGAGAAGCUGGCAUGUAUGUUCUCCACAUGGCUGGUUUCAGGGACUCUGUCAAGAGUCUUCAAGAAAUGCAGAACAGUACUCAUACCUAAGACCACUGACCCGGGCCGCCUCGGGGACGUCAACCAGUGGCGUCCAAUCACUAUUGGGUCUAUGGUCUUGAGACUAUCCUGACGGGUAGGAUGACGUCGGUGUGCCCUAUCCAUCCGUGACAGAGGGGCUUUAUAGCCUCACCUGGCUGCUUGGAAAACCUAUCAAUCCUGAAGGGGAUAAUGAGGUGGAGCAAGACAGAAAGGUCCUCCCAUGGGGUUGUAUUUGUUGAUUUCGCGAAGGCUUUCGAUACAGUUUCGCAUGAGCAUCUCCUGAGUGCUCUGGAACGGAAAGGGUUAGACCAACACAUGCUGGAAUUGGUCAGGAAGUCAUGAGAACUGCAUGACUAAGGUGCCAGGCGCAGAAGGGUUCACUGCUGACAUCGCCAUGAAGAUGGGAGUGAAGCAGGGUAACUCCAUAUCACCUCUCCUCUUCAACAUUGCCUUGGAUCCACUGGUCCAGGCACUCGAACGCGACGGCCGUGGAUUUGUUGGGAAGGGGAGAUCCAUUCCGGCUUUGGCAUUUGCGGAUGACCUGGUCUUGUUGAGCAGCUCCUGGGAGGGUAUGGUGGCCAACAUUGGUAUCCUGGAGGCCUUCUGCGUACUUACUGGGAUGAGCGCUCAGCCAUAGCUGCCAUCGGAGGGACACCCCUCAUGUGAGAUGGCAAAGGCCCUGAUAAAGGCUUUCCCUGUAAUUCCUGAAAUUGACUUCAACACAUUGAAAAAAGAAAUGGAGAAGGAGAGGAGAGAUCUGGCUGUUGACGUUCUAGGGGCCUCUGUCUUUGAUGAACAAAAUUAUUGCGCUAUGUGUGCCACCUUUAAGCCACCAGGACCAGGAACUGCCAUUAUAUAAUGGGUG